UUCCAUUUUUCUCUUCUCCUGUUUGCUGUUCUAUUUUUUCUCUUUCACUUUGCUUUUUUGCUCUCAUUGUUUUUCUUUGCUUUUUCAUCAUCUUCUUCCAGGAUUUUAGGUUAAACUUUGUCCUGUUUUGUUGAUUUUAUGUUCGAUUGUUUUGAUAUUGCUUUCAAUUUUUGCUCCUUCAUAGUUAUGUGGAUGUAGGUAUGUUGCAUGCACAAAAUUCCUAUUUUGAAUCCACUUCUUCUUCAUCUCCUAUGCCCAGAAGUGUAGACCCGUCUCAAUUUUGCAUUGAUGAGUCAUAUUAUAAGAGAGUACAACAAAAAAAUUCUUCUGCCAUAUACCAACAAAGACCUCAAAAUUCAACUGGGUAUGAGACUAAACAAAAUGGAGCAACUUAGGUUUACAUGUGAUAGGGAUUUACAAAUUCAACAACAGAGUAUAGAUGCAGGCGCCAUCUCUUUUCGAAAAUCUUUGGAUUCAACCAACCUCCAAGCUGAAGAAACCCUUCAAUUCCAGGGUAAAAUUGAAAAUACUACAUUCUAAAAAGUAUCCGCCUUUGAAGGGCAUGGCUGCAUAUCUUGGAAAAUUGAAAACUGAGCUUAAUUAGAGAGGCAGAAGAUAAUUUAGUAAAAGCACUUACAGAUGUGUUGAAUUGGAAGGAAAGUAAUAAAAAGAAGAGCGUAAAGGUCUCUUUCUCACUAUGAAAAAUUCUUCAAAUGCACCUAAGGAUGUUUUCAACUUCAGUAGGAAUAAACAAGCGAGGAAUUGGUGGAAUUGAAGUUACUUGACGGUAUUGUGACUAUUGUUAGAUAAACAAAUCAUGGAAGAUCUGCCAUAUGGAUUAGUAGCUCAAGUGUUUUAUAUGGUAUUAUUGUUAGCAAGAUUCGAAAAAGAAAGUCGUACCUGCAUGUAACGAAUAUGACAUUUUUAUUUCAUGGAUUGGCUGUGAACACAACAAAUCAUUGAAGAUGUUGCAUUGGAGGUUAAAGAGAAAGUAAGUCAGUAUUGUUGUUGGUUCUCUCUUUUUAUACAUUACUCUGGGUGAUCUUUGCUUCUUCUCAAUUUGUUCUGUUAUACGGGUUAGUAGCUCAAGUGUUAUAU
Molecule: long non-coding RNA, 1098 nt
Organism: Solanum stenotomum
Lineage: Eukaryota; Viridiplantae; Streptophyta; Magnoliopsida; Solanales; Solanaceae
Exons: 5
Source: RefSeq, a predicted model, not a curated record